UACGACUACAUAUCAGGCAUAUCAAUAAGCGGAGGAAAAGAAACUAACAAGGAUUCCCUUAGUAACGGCGAGUGAAGCGGGAAGAGCUCAAAUUUGAAAUCUUCAAGGUUCUACCUUGACGAAUUGUAGUUUAAUAGAAGUGUUUUCUGUUAGUGGAGUUGGCUAAAAGUUCUUUGGAAUAGGACAUCAUAGAGGGUGAGAAUCCCGUAUUUGUACCAUUUCCUCCUAGCUGUUGUGAUACACUUUCAACGAGUCGGAUUGUUUGGGAAUGCAGUCCAAAAUGGGUGGUAAAUUUCAUCUAAAGCUAAAUAUUGGCGAGAGACCGAUAGCGGACAAGUACCGUGAGGGAAAGAUGAAAAGAACUUUGAAAAGAGAGUUAAACAGUACGUGAAAUUGUCAAAAGGGAAGCGUUUGACACCAGUGUUGUUUUUCUCGAAAAUCAAUUACUGAAUGGUUUGUUUUGAGGAGUUAUGACUUCAUCAGCUUGCUGCCUUCGUUUACUGAACUUUCUUGAAUGCACUUUUCGGUUAACAAGUCAACAUCAAUUUCUUUUGCUUGUAAAAGGGUAUGAGGAAGGUGGCUUUAACUUUCGGAUAAGUGUUUAUAGCCUUGUACCUCUGCAAUCGGAGAGAUUGAGGUCUGCAGCGUAGAUCCUUCGGGGUUAGAUACAUUUGUGCUAAGUUAUAGCUUUUCAUAGACAACUUGUUGACUAUGUUUAGUCUUGUAGCUUACUCGCUUAGUGCUAAUUUUACCUACGCUUAGGAUGUUGAACGCGCACAGAGUCUC
This 786-nucleotide ribosomal RNA is filed under the name uncultured Neocallimastigales. RNAcentral describes it as "partial large subunit ribosomal RNA". It matches the Rfam family "Eukaryotic large subunit ribosomal RNA", at positions 24 to 641 of the family's 3401-position model. The record is from RNAcentral. Lineage: Eukaryota; Fungi; Neocallimastigomycota; Neocallimastigomycetes; Neocallimastigales.